GAUGAACGCUGGCGGCGUGCCUAAUACAUGCAAGUAGAACGCUGAAGGAAGGAGCUUGCUCUUUCCGGAUGAGUUGCGAACGGGUGAGUAACGCGUAGGUAACCUGCCUGGUAGCGGGGGAUAACUAUUGGAAACGAUAGCUAAUACCGCAUAACAGUAGAUGUUGCAUGAUAUCUACUUAAAAGGUGCAAUUGCACCACUACCAGAUGGACUUGCGUUGUAUUAGCUAGUUGGUGAGGUAACGGCUCACCAAGGCGACGAUACAUAGCCGACCUGAGAGGGUGAUCGGCCACACUGGGACUGAGACACGGCCCAGACUCCUACGGGAGGCAGCAGUAGGGAAUCUUCGGCAAAGGACGGAAGUCUGACCGGGCAACGCCGCGUGAGGGAAGAAGGGUUUCGGAUCGUAAAGCUCUGUUGUAAGAGAAGAACGAGUGUGGGAGUGGAAAGUUCACACUGUGACGGUAUCUUACCAGAAAGGGACGGCUAACUACGUG
This 497-nucleotide ribosomal RNA is filed under the name uncultured bacterium. RNAcentral's name for it is "partial 16S ribosomal RNA". It matches the Rfam family "Bacterial small subunit ribosomal RNA", at positions 28 to 507 of the family's 1533-position model. The record is from RNAcentral.